Molecule: non-coding RNA, 143 nt
Organism: Gossypium raimondii (Peruvian cotton)
Lineage: Eukaryota; Viridiplantae; Streptophyta; Magnoliopsida; Malvales; Malvaceae
Source: Rfam
UGUCUAAUUAUUUAUCUAUUUCUACAAUUAAAAACUGAUGUGACUAAUAGAAUAACCAGAUAGUUACACAUGGCGUGUCAAGUGUGUCUCAUGUUGAUAUACAACAACUAGUUUUUAAUAGUAAAAAUGGACAAUUUUUAACA